GUGCUCACUUCAGCAGCACAUGUACAAAAAUUGGAACAAUACAGAGGAGAUUAGCAUGACACCUGCUCAGUGAUGUCAUACAAAUUCAGUAAACAUUCCAUAUUUUU
Small nuclear RNA from Hippopotamus amphibius kiboko, 107 nucleotides. NCBI's taxonomy places the organism in Eukaryota, Metazoa, Chordata, Mammalia, Artiodactyla, Hippopotamidae. The record is from RefSeq and is a predicted model, not a curated record.